ACCUAGCUGGUAAACAACAUAUCUAAGUGAGAACCAUUUUUUCAUCAAUACAAAGCGCUUAGGUAUCUGAGAAUAUUUUUCUGCCCUUUCCAACAUGAUAUGCAAUAAUUAAUUUUUUUCUUUUGUUGGAGUAGUUCUUGGUAAAGGCCACGGGCGUCACAUUAAUUCCACCUCAAGGGGGAUAAUAACAUACCUUAAAUCCCUCCAUUUAAAUUCAAUUUUUGAAAUCAAAUUAUUGUUGUAAUCUUCUCAUUAUUUCUCUCCUACUUUCUCUCUAUUCAAAUUCAAAUUCAAAUUUUAAAUUUGAAUUGUUACUAUAAAUUUCUUCUAAUUUUUCUCCUAUAACCAUUCUUGUAUAUCUUAUAUAUAUUCAAUACAAACUCAAAGAAAUCCCAACCAAUCAAAGAAGACUUUAUCCAUCGCAUUGUGUUUCUUUCAUGGUAUCAAAGCCCAUCUUGGCAUCACUGUCUUUCUUCUGCAAACCCAGCCCUUCUUCUCAUAUUAGAAAUUUCCAUCCCAACAAUGUCGGCAACAUCAUAUUCUUCACCUGAACUUAAAUCCUCUCCAGCUACAACCCUUGUAGUCUCCAAUAUCUCAAAUCUAGUCUCAAUUAAGUUUGAUGGCAGCAACUAUCUCCUUUAGAAGUCUCUCUUUGAACCAAUUUUAUGGGGACACA
RNAcentral lists this long non-coding RNA (676 nucleotides) under Phoenix dactylifera (date palm). Its description in RNAcentral is "long non-coding RNA (PDAC_LNC003267)". The record is from RNAcentral. Lineage: Eukaryota; Viridiplantae; Streptophyta; Magnoliopsida; Arecales; Arecaceae.